UGCGAGACGGACAGGUCGAGCAGGUACGAAAGUAGUCGAUAGUGAUCCGGUGUUCGUGAAUGGAAGGCCGAUCGCUCAACGGAUAAAAGGUACUCGGGGGAUACAGGCUGAUACCGCCCAAGAGUUCAUAUCGACGCGGUGUUUGGCACUCGAUGUCGGCUCAUCACAUCCUGGGGCUGAAGUCGGUCCCAAGGGUAUGGCUGUUCGCCAUUUAAAGUGGUACGCGAGCUGGGUUCAGAACGUCGUGAGACAGUUCGGUCCCUAUCUGCCGUGGGCGUUGGAUGAUUGAAGGGAGUUGCUCCUAGUACGAGAGGACCGGAGUGAACGAACCUCUGGUGUUCGGGUUGUCACGCCAGUGGCACUGCCCGGUAGCUAAGUUCGGAAUCGAUAACCGCUGAAAGCAUCUAAGCGGGAAGCGAGCCCUGAGAUGAGUCAUCCCUGACCCCUUGAGGGUCCUAAAGGGCCGUUGGAGACCACAACGUUGAUAGGUGGGGUGUGUAAGUGCAGCGAUGCAUUGAGCUAACCCAUACUAAUUACCCGUGAGGCUUAACCAUACAACACCCAAGAAGUGUUCU
This 575-nucleotide ribosomal RNA is filed under the name Aeromonas salmonicida subsp. salmonicida. RNAcentral's name for it is "bacterial LSU rRNA". It matches the Rfam family "Bacterial large subunit ribosomal RNA", at positions 2374 to 2925 of the family's 2925-position model. Lineage: Bacteria; Pseudomonadati; Pseudomonadota; Gammaproteobacteria; Aeromonadales; Aeromonadaceae. The record is from RNAcentral.